Molecule: ribosomal RNA, 527 nt
Filed under: uncultured bacterium
Lineage: Bacteria
Description: bacterial SSU rRNA
Rfam family: Bacterial small subunit ribosomal RNA
Source: RNAcentral
UGGGGAAUCUUGGACAAUGGGGGCAACCCUGAUCCAGCCAUGCCGCGUGAGUGAUGAAGGCCUUAGGGUCGUAAAGCUCUUUCGCCUGUGAAGAUAAUGACGGUAGCAGGUAAAGAAACCCCGGCUAACUCCGUGCCAGCAGCCGCGGUAAUACGGAGGGGGUUAGCGUUGUUCGGAAUUACUGGGCGUAAAGCGCACGUAGGCGGACCAGAAAGUUGGGGGGUGAAAUCCCGGGGGCUCAACCCCGGAACUGCCUCCAAAACUAUUGGUCUAGAGUUCGAGAGAGGUGAGUGGAAUUCCAAGUGUAGAGGUGAAAUUCGUAGAUAUUUGGAGGAACACCAGUGGCGAAGGCGGCUCACUGGCUCGAUACUGACGCUGAGGUGCGAAAGUGUGGGGAGCAAAACAGGAUUAGAUACCCUGGUAGUCCACACCGUAAAACGAUGAAUGCCAGUCGUCGGGGUAGCAUGCUAUUCGGUGACACACCUAACGGAUUAAGCAUUCCGCCUGGGGAGUACGGUCGCAAGAUU